Molecule: transfer RNA, 85 nt
Filed under: Stappia quadratibracata
Lineage: Bacteria; Pseudomonadati; Pseudomonadota; Alphaproteobacteria; Hyphomicrobiales; Stappiaceae
Also listed under: 1 other name
Description: tRNA-Leu
Rfam family: tRNA
About the family: Transfer RNA (tRNA) molecules are approximately 80 nucleotides in length. Their secondary structure includes four short double-helical elements and three loops (D, anti-codon, and T loops). Further hydrogen bonds mediate the characteristic L-shaped molecular structure. tRNAs have two regions of fundamental functional importance: the anti-codon, which is responsible for specific mRNA codon recognition, and the 3' end, to which the tRNAs corresponding amino acid is attached (by aminoacyl-tRNA synthetases). tRNAs cope with the degeneracy of the genetic code in two manners: having more than one tRNA (with a specific anti-codon) for a particular amino acid; and 'wobble' base-pairing, i.e. permitting non-standard base-pairing at the 3rd anti-codon position.
Source: RNAcentral
GCGGACGUGGUGGAACCGGUAGACACAAGGGACUUAAAAUCCCUCGGCCUUGGCCAUGCGGGUUCGAGUCCCGCCGUCCGUACCA